UCCCUGGUGGCUGAGAGGUUAAAGCGUCUGCCCGCAAUGCAGGAGACCUGGGUUCGAUCCCUGGGUCGGGAA
Ovis aries (sheep) is the source of this 72-nucleotide transfer RNA. It matches the Rfam family "tRNA". From Rfam's summary of the family: Transfer RNA (tRNA) molecules are approximately 80 nucleotides in length. NCBI's taxonomy places the organism in Eukaryota, Metazoa, Chordata, Mammalia, Artiodactyla, Bovidae. The record is from Rfam.